UGAGUAAUGUCUGGGAAACUGCCUGAUGGAGGGGGAUAACUACUGGAAACGGUAGCUAAUACCGCAUAACGUCGCAAGACCAAAGAGGGGGACCUUCGGGCCUCUUGCCAUCAGAUGUGCCCAGAUGGGAUUAGCUAGUAGGUGGGGUAAUGGCUCACCUAGGCGACGAUCCCUAGCUGGUCUGAGAGGAUGACCAGCCACACUGGAACUGAGACACGGUCCAGACUCCUACGGGAGGCAGCAGUGGGGAAUAUUGCACAACGGGCGCAAGCCUGAUGCAGCCAUGCCGCGUGUGUGAAGAAGGCCUUCGGGUUGUAAAGCACUUUCAGCGAGGAGGAAGGUGGUGAGCUUAAUACGCUCAUCAAUUGACGUUACUCGCAGAAGAAGCACCGGCUAACUCCGUGCCAGCAGCCGCGGUAAUACGGAGGGUGCAAGCGUUAAUCGGAAUUACUGGGCGUAAAGUGCACGCAGGCGGUUUGUUAAGUCAGAUGUGAAAUCCCCGGG
Molecule: ribosomal RNA, 504 nt
Filed under: uncultured bacterium
Lineage: Bacteria
Description: bacterial SSU rRNA
Rfam family: Bacterial small subunit ribosomal RNA
Source: RNAcentral